RNAcentral lists this long non-coding RNA (289 nucleotides) under Gossypium raimondii (Peruvian cotton). Its description in RNAcentral is "long non-coding RNA (GRAI_LNC008073)". The record is from RNAcentral. Lineage: Eukaryota; Viridiplantae; Streptophyta; Magnoliopsida; Malvales; Malvaceae.
AGACGCCUCUAUGCCGUUGUUUGGUUCGUGGUUUUUCUAUUACGGCUGUAAUACGCGACUAACUUAAUCGGUGAAAUCCACCGAUUUCUAAUACACCCCAUUUGCUCAGAUUAGGCUCCGCAUAGGUUUACCAUCCCUGUUAUACCCUCCCAUAUGCUUCCUCGUUUCUCUUCUGUUCCUUCUAGCCUCUGCCGAAUUCGUUGUUGGUAAGUUAAUCCCCUCCAGAUUUGUUUCACUCUGCUGAUUCUGCAUGUAAUCGGUUUCCCCUUUUCUGAUUACAGCUUCUUCU